RNAcentral lists this ribosomal RNA (1368 nucleotides) under uncultured bacterium. Its description in RNAcentral is "bacterial SSU rRNA". It matches the Rfam family "Bacterial small subunit ribosomal RNA". The record is from RNAcentral.
GAGUUUGAUCCUGGCUCAGGACGAACGCUGGCGGCGCGCCUAACACAUGCAAGUCGAACGAGCGAGAGAGAGCUUGCUUUCUCGAGCGAGUGGCGAACGGGUGAGUAACGCGUGAGGAACCUGCCUCAAAGAGGGGGACAACAGUUGGAAACGACUGCUAAUACCGCAUAAGCCCACAGCUCGGCAUCGAGCAGAGGGAAAAGGAGCAAUCCGCUUUGAGAUGGCCUCGCGUCCGAUUAGCUAGUUGGUGAGGUAAUGGCCCACCAAGGCGACGAUCGGUAGCCGGACUGAGAGGUUGAACGGCCACAUUGGGACUGAGACACGGCCCAGACUCCUACGGGAGGCAGCAGUGGGGAAUAUUGCACAAUGGGGGAAACCCUGAUGCAGCGACGCCGCGUGGAGGAAGAAGGUCUUCGGAUUGUAAACUCCUGUUGUUGAGGAAGAUAAUGACGGUACUCAACGAGGAAGUGACGGCUAACUACGUGCCAGCAGCCGCGGUAAAACGUAGGUCACAAGCGUUGUCCGGAAUUACUGGGUGUAAAGGGAGCGCAGGCGGGAAGACAAGUUGGAAGUGAAAUCUAUGGGCUCAACCCAUAAACUGCUUUCAAAACUGUUUUUCUUGAGUAGUGCAGAGGUAGGCGGAAUUCCCGGUGUAGCGGUGGAAUGCGUAGAUAUCGGGAGGAACACCAGUGGCGAAGGCGGCCUACUGGGCACCAACUGACGCUGAGGCUCGAAAGUGUGGGUAGCAAACAGGAUUAGAUACCCUGGUAGUCCACACCGUAAACGAUGAUUACUAGGUGUUGGAGGAUUGACCCCUUCAGUGCCGCAGUUAACACAAUAAGUAAUCCACCUGGGGAGUACGACCGCAAGGUUGAAACUCAAAGGAAUUGACGGGGGCCCGCACAAGCAGUGGAGUAUGUGGUUUAAUUCGACGCAACGCGAAGAACCUUACCAAGUCUUGACAUCCCUUGACGAACAUAGAAAUAUGUUUUCUCUUCGGAGCAAGGAGACAGGUGGUGCAUGGUUGUCGUCAGCUCGUGUCGUGAGAUGUUGGGUUAAGUCCCGCAACGAGCGCAACCCUUACUGUCAGUUACUACGCAAGAGGACUCUGGCAGGACUGCCGUUGACAAAACGGAGGAAGGUGGGGAUGACGUCAAAUCAUCAUGCCCUUUAUGACUUGGGCUACACACGUACUACAAUGGCGUUAAACAAAGAGAAGCAAGACCGCGAGGUGGAGCAAAACUCAGAAACAACGUCCCAGUUCGGACUGCAGGCUGCAACUCGCCCGCACGAAGUCGGAAUUGCUAGUAAUCGUGGAUCAGCAUGCCACGGUGAAUACGUUCCCGGACCUUGUACAGACCGCCCGUC